GACGGACUCCGCAACCGCCUGUCCUACCUGCACGGCAGCCGAGCCGGUUUCCUUCCCCACGACCCCACCUAUAAAUUCCCCACACCAUCGACACCCUUUACCCAAUCCACUCGCCCGCUGACUCCGAUCAAGAAAAUCCCCGCCGCAACACAGCGAUCGAUCUUUAGCUCCCGCGAACCUCCCUCUCUGUCAAGAUGCAGAUUUUUGUGAAGACGCUCACCGGCAAGACCAUCACACUUGAGGUCGAGUCCUCUGACACAAUUGACAAUGUCAAGGCAAAGAUCCAGGAUAAGGAGGGUAUCCCGCCGGACCAGCAGCGACUCAUCUUUGCUGGCAAGCAACUCGAGGAUGGGCGGACACUAGCUGAUUACAACAUCCAGAAAGAGUCCACCCUCCACUUGGUUCUCCGUCUCCGUGGUGGGCAUGCAGAUCUUUGUCAAGACCUUGACCGGCAAGACCAUCACCCUGAAGGUGGAAUCUUCAGACACCAUCGACAACGUGAAGGCGAAGAUCCAGGACAAGGAGGGCAUCCCCCCGGACCAGCAGCGCCUGAUCUUUGCCGGUAAGCAGCUUGAGGAUGGUCGCACACUGGCAGAUUACAACAUUCAGAAGGAGUCUACUCUCCACCUGGUGCUUCGCCUUCGUGGUGGCCAGUGAGUUCUUCGCAUUCCUGGAAGUUUGACCCGGACCAGCAGCGCCUGAUCUUUGCCGGUAAGCAGCUUUAGGAUGGUCGCAUACUGUUGGACUCCACCUGGUGCUUUGCCUUCGUGGUGUCACUGAGUUCUUCGCACUCCUGGAAGUUUGAUUUGACUACGCCUGUUGCUGGUAUCCGAGUCAUUAUUUGUGCUUUUACUUAAAAUUUGUAGUCCCGUGCCAUUCGUGAGAACACCUGGUGCUGCCUUUAAGCAGCUUAUAUUAGUACUAUCCGUUAUGAAAUAUAAGUGAUCCUGAAUCUUCUUAUUCCUUGAUAAGCCGAAUCUCCGUAUCCUGUAAAUUACAGUUGCUUUGUGCUGGUCCUGUGAUUCAUAGAUGUUCAGACUGUAACAUCGAGGGGGAUGAGAAAUUUUGAUGGAGGUACUUUAUAAAAGUAUUAGUUUUACCC
RNAcentral lists this ribosomal RNA (1102 nucleotides) under Triticum aestivum (bread wheat). Its description in RNAcentral is "partial small subunit ribosomal RNA". Lineage: Eukaryota; Viridiplantae; Streptophyta; Magnoliopsida; Poales; Poaceae. The record is from RNAcentral.